RNAcentral lists this small nuclear RNA (141 nucleotides) under Dasypus novemcinctus (nine-banded armadillo). RNAcentral describes it as "U4 spliceosomal RNA (ENSDNOG00000047065.1)". It matches the Rfam family "U4 spliceosomal RNA". From Rfam's summary of the family: U4 small nuclear RNA (U4 snRNA) is a component of the major U2-dependent spliceosome. The structure of U4 snRNA from yeast and human has been reported. Lineage: Eukaryota; Metazoa; Chordata; Mammalia; Cingulata; Dasypodidae. The record is from RNAcentral.
AGCUUUGUGCAGUGGCAUUACUGUAGCCAAUGAAGUUUAUCCAAGCCAUGAUUAUUACUAGUUGAAAAUUUUUCCCAAUAUCCUGCUAUGAUGACUUGAAAUAAAGCCCACUUUGGCAAUUUUUGACAGACUCUACAGAGC